AACUAACGCUGGCGGCGUGCCUAACACAUGCAAGUCGUACGAGAAAGCCGGCUUCGGCUGGUGAGUAAAGUGGCGCACGGGUGAGUAACGCGUGGAUAAUCUGCCCUUAAGUGUGGAAUAACGUACCGAAAGGUGCGCUAAUACCGCAUAAUGCCUGGCAACACAAGUUGUCCGGCCAAAGAAGGCCUCUGUUUACAAGCUUUCGCUUCAGGAUGAGUCCCGCGUACCAUUAGCUUGUUGGUGGGGUAAUGGCCUACCAAGGCUGCGAUGGUUAGCUGGUCUGAGAGGAUGAUCAGCCACACUGGAACUGAGACACGGUCCAGACUCCUACGGGAGGCAGCAGUCGAGAAUAGUCUACAAUGGUCGGAAGACUGAUAGUGCGACGCCGCGUGAACGAUGAAUCCCGUUCGGGGUGUAAAGUUCUUUUAAUAUGUGAGCAGUGCUUCUUAUAUUAACAGUAGUGGGAGAGAGAUAUUAGCAU
This 481-nucleotide ribosomal RNA is filed under the name uncultured bacterium. Its description in RNAcentral is "bacterial SSU rRNA". It matches the Rfam family "Bacterial small subunit ribosomal RNA", at positions 29 to 487 of the family's 1533-position model. The record is from RNAcentral.